This 227-nucleotide long non-coding RNA is filed under the name Lathyrus oleraceus (garden pea). Its description in RNAcentral is "Pisum sativum (pea) long non-coding RNA (PSAT_LNC019748)". Lineage: Eukaryota; Viridiplantae; Streptophyta; Magnoliopsida; Fabales; Fabaceae. The record is from RNAcentral.
UACUUUAGCUACUUCUCCCCCUUUUUAGCCAAAAUAGACCAAAGAGACAAAAUAAAUGUCUAUUAGUCAAACAAAAUGUCAAAGCAGAUUGUUAAGUGUUACAGAUCCCAGAACACAUACAACUAUACAAGCUGAGAUAAAAAUCCAGAAAAACCAAAAAGAACAAAAAAAAAUACAUCAAGGUAGCAGAACAUGACUACCAAAAGAAACACCAGAACAUCCAUCAC